UGGGGUGAAGUCGUAACAAGGUAACCUCAGCUCGAUCAUGGCUCAGAUUGCUGGGGUGAAGUCGUAACAAGGUAACCAGUUUGAUCAUGGCUCAGAUAGAGUUUGAUCAUGGCUCAGAUUUAACGCUGGUGGUAUGCAUAACACAUGCAAGUUGUACGGCUAAUUUUUUUAGUAGUAGCGAACGGGUGAGUAAUAUACUAUUACAUACCUAAUAGUUUGGUAUAAAGUAAUGAAAAUUACCUUAAUUCCUUAUAUUAAUUUGCAAUUAUUCAAAUUGAAAGACCUAGAAAUAUUUCUAGGUCGCUUUUAGAUUGUGUAGUAUCAGAUUAGUUAGUUGCUAGUUUAAUAUACUAACAAGGCGAUGAUCUGUAGUUGUUCUGCAAGGAAGUACAACCACACUGGGACUGAGAUACGGCCCAGACUCCCACGGGAGGCAGCAGUGAGGAAUCUUGGACAAUGAGCGACAGCUUGAUCCAGCAAUACCACGUGUGCGACGAAGGUUUACACUGUAAAGCACUUUUUUAGGAAACUAAGGUCUUAAUGGCUUGAAUUUAUCUUAAGAAUAAGCACCGGCUAAUUACGUGCCAGCAGCCGCGGUAAUACGUAAGGUGCUAGCGUUAUUCGGUUUUAUUUGGCGUAAAGCGUGUGUAGGCUGUUUAUUGUGAUAAGGGUAAAAACUUAAAGCUCAACUUUAUUAGGCUCUUUUUACUAAUAAUCUAGAACUUAAAUAGAGAUAGUGGAAUUUUGCAAGUAACAGUGAAAUGUGUAAAUAUGCAAAGGAACACCGAUAGCGAAGGCAACUAUCUGAUUUAUUUUGACGCUGAUACACUAAAGCGUGGGGAGCAAACAGGAUUAGAUACCCUGGUAGUCCACGCCCUAAACGUUGUCAACUAAUUGCUUGUAUUACUUUUAAGAGUUUUAUGAGUGAUAUAGCUAACGCGUUAAGUUGACCGCCUGGGGACUACGAUCGCAAGAUUAAAACUCAAAGGAAUUGACGGGGACCUGCACAAGCGGUGGAUGAUGUGGAUUAAUUCGAUGUAACACGAAGAACCUUACCUACUUUUGACAUGUACAGAAUUUACUUGAGAAAGUGAAGUGCCGGUAUUAGGAACUGUAACACAGGUGCUGCAUGGCUGUCGUCAGCUCGUGUCGUGAGAUGUUGGGUUAAGUCCUAUAACGAGCGUAACCCUCUUUUCAUAUUGCUAAUGUAUAGUACUUUUGAAAGACUGCCAAUGAUUAAGUUGGAGGAAGGAGAGGAUGACGUCAAGUCCUCAUGGCCUUUAUAAGUAGGGCUUCACACGUCAUACAAUGGUUAAUACAAUAUGAUGCAAUCUUGUGAAAGUGAGCUAAUCAGUAAAAUUAACCUCAGUUCGGAUUGUACCCUGCAACUCGGGUACAUGAAGUUGGAAUCGCUAGUAAUCGCAGAUUAGAAUGCUGCGGUGAAUACGUUCUCAGGUCUUGUACACACCGCCCGUCACACCAUGGAAGUUUAUUUUGUUGGAAUUAGUUUUUAAGUAAAUUAACAAGGCGAGAUAAGUAACUGGGGUGAAGUCGUAACAAGGUA
This is a ribosomal RNA of 1564 nucleotides. It matches the Rfam family "Bacterial small subunit ribosomal RNA".